This is a long non-coding RNA of Cygnus olor (mute swan), 871 nucleotides long. RefSeq lists it as uncharacterized. Lineage: Eukaryota; Metazoa; Chordata; Aves; Anseriformes; Anatidae. The transcript has 3 exons. The record is from RefSeq and is a predicted model, not a curated record.
AAAAGCAAGGUAAGGAAAAGUACACAAAGUGCCCAGCCCACCGCAUGUUCCCUGAGGUAAAGAGGGGCCACACAGAUGGCUGAUGUUGCAGAAGCCUCCAGGAACAGAUAAGCUAGCUAAAAUCCAAACUGUAUGGGUCAGGCCAAAUCUGCUUCAGGAGGUUCCCAGCCCCAGCUCACGAUUGCAACCUCUUCCUGGAGGUUUCUGACCUCUCAGCUCUGACAAACGCUGAAUAAUCAUCUUUGUGGUAUGAUUCUAACCGAGGGGACGGAAACCUCCAGCCGAUGGGGAGAGGAUGGGAUCGCUUAAAAUAAUAUAAGCGAGGAAUGCACUCAAUUUACAGCCUGUGUGAUGUGAUGGAGCACGAGGAAGGUGGAACAGAAAGGCUGAAUGUGGAUGAGAACGUGGAGGAGUGUGGAGCGGUUGAUCCUAACAUCUGCAGCCAGCUUAUGACAAGGAUCCCUUCUGGAGAAAAAGGUCUCAAGAGGAGAAAUACAUGAGAAUAGCAAGAUAUCACAAAGGAAAUCAGGUCUGAUCAAGGAGUGCUGAUUCUUUAAAUAGGAUCUUUAAUGAAAACAAAGGCAGUCACCUUGCAUGCACUGUCCACUGUAUUGAAAUGUUCCAAAAACAGUCCCUCUCCCAAGGUAAUACAACAAAACAUUUGCCUAACUCAGACAAAGAAUAUGUUUAAGCUCAGACUAAUUCCUUUUUUAAAAGUUACAUGAAAAUCAUAGUCCAUGAACAACACUGCAGAAUCUGAAGAGAUAUUUCUAGGACAUUGUUUUCCUUUUACUGGAUUUUUUUCAUUAAAAUGAAAUCAAAUAAGUAUCUUUUGAACAUUGAGCAAUACCUCUAAGUAUACCACUGUGCA